Long non-coding RNA from Setaria italica (foxtail millet), 4708 nucleotides. RefSeq lists it as uncharacterized. The transcript is spliced from 5 exons. Lineage: Eukaryota; Viridiplantae; Streptophyta; Magnoliopsida; Poales; Poaceae. The record is from RefSeq and is a predicted model, not a curated record.
AAACCAUGCCCCCCGCCCUACCUCCGGCUUCGCCGCGGGCACACUCGCGCGCAUUUUGCAAUGCACCUCGCCUCCACCUCCGCGCGACCGCCCGGCGCACGCCGACGCCUUCGGAGCCCUCGUCCACCUCCGCCCCAUCUGCGCGCACCCCUUCAGCGCCCUCAUCUCCAGCUUCAUCCUCGCUGGCGACCCGUCCGCGGCUUUUCGCGCCUCGCCACGGGGGACUCUGCGGCUCUGCGCUCGUGCGGCCCGACGGUUACACGCUCCCCUCCGCGUGCGCGCGGCUCGUGGGGAUCGGCGAGGGCCGGUAGGUGCACGCGGUCGCGGGAAAGGCUGGGUUCCUGGGGCGCCUGCCGCCGGUAUGGAACGCGCUGGUCACGGUCUACGGCGCAUGCGGGGACGCGAGGAGGGCGUUCGACGAAAUGGCCGACCGGCAUGUCGUGUCGCGUGCGGGAGGCUGGGGGUGGUGCGGGCUGAGAGAACGGUGCACAGUCAGUAUGUCGACAGGGAGAGGGAGCUGAGCAUCACUGUUGGGAAUGCAGUGUUGGAUAUGUAUGUGAAAUGCGAGAUGUAGCCAGACGGGGUUUUGACAGGAUUCCUGUGAAGGACAUUGUCUAUUGGACGGUUAUGAUCAGCGGAUUGGUGCAGUGCAAGUGUCCAAAUGUUGCCACUCCGGUUUGGUGCCAGAUGGUCAUCGGUUUUUUGAGUUGAUGACAGUAUCAUACAAGCCCUCAAGCCCUCUCCAUUGGAAGAGCACUAUGGUUGCAUGAUGGUUCUUCUUGGCAGAGGUCGCCUAGUCCAGGAGGCAUACGAAGUAAUUAGUGCUAUGCCAAUGGUACCUGCUGUUUCACAUGGGAAGCUCUCCUGAGUACAUGCCAAGCUUAUGGCCAAAUGGAUUUCUCUCAUCAGAUUCUUAUGCAUGUUCAGGAAUUGGAGUCCUCUGAUAGUGGAGUUUAUGUCCUCUCCAAGGUAUAUACUGUAAAUGAUAGAUGGACAGAUGUGAUGAAGGUUAAAGGAUUGAUGUCUAAGAAAGAAAUGCACAAGGAUCCAGGAUCCAGUGCAGUUGAAGUGAAUAGGAAAAUCAGUGAAUUCUUAGUUGUGCAGAAGAAUUGUUCGCAUAUUCAUGAGAUAUGGGCUGUUCUUUCCAUACUAAUGAAGCAACUUCAUUUUGAGGGCCCUGUAGUUCUUCUGGCAGAUUAUUGGUUUCUCUGAAGAUCCAUUGAACAUCUACUUAGUCAAUUGGUCUAAAGGAUUGGACGCAAGAUUGAUUGGUUAUUGUGCUACCAAGACCGCAUGAAUUACUAUGAUGAUCAAGACUAACACUAACCUUGGUGGCGGCUACAUAUUUAAGUGCUUGGACAAGAUUAACGGUGAUUCCAUCAUUAUGAUUGGUUGAUGGACAAAAGAGAUCUGACUCUUGCAGGAUAUUAUUUGAGUCCAGAGAGAAUUGCGUUGUGAUAUUUUUAUAGCAGGUGGUGAAAAGGUUCGGGCAUUGGGCACUGAGACACUGACACUAUUGAGAUUGGUAGAGUUCUGUCACGCAGACGCGCAUGUGCUGCACAGCUUAGCACUGUGUUAUAUAAACCUCCUCAAACAAACAACCCUGGAAUGCAGUUGCUCUGUAAAGAGCUAUAGGGCCUGAGGCAAGCAUUGUUUUGUUCUUAUACCCUGCAGACAACUUGUUAGUUUGAUGAAGGGUAUCUGCUUUUGUGAACAUGACUGGAACUACAAUUUUUAUAUGCAUCAACAUCAAGUUUCCCUCUCUGAAGACAUAGAUUGUUGUCAACGAUGGCGAAAUUGUAAGAUAAAUUCAUUCUCUAAGUGCCGUGUUUUGCAGUGGCAGACAGGUCAAAGUAACUUCCAAUUGAAGCUACUUUUCAAGGCCCAGCAUUUACUAUCAUUUUGCGACGUGCCUGAGCUUGUGCAUCUUUUCACGUUUAAUGAAUACUCCUUGCAUAGCACUUUCAGUGAUCUGGUACUUAUCUAAUAUACCGUCUGCCUCCACACCCAUUCUCCCUUUGACAAUUGAAGAACACAGCAGCCACAGGAGGUCCAAGAUUAUAAAGUGCUGAAAAGUCUCUAGUGUUGAAAUUCGGUCUCCAUCCUGGAGCAUAAACAGUUUGCUGGACAGAUUGGCGGAAAAGUACAAAGACAAAGCGAUGUAUUCCAGCAGUUGGCUUUGGAUUUUCAUAACUGACAAUUUCAUUUCCUGUAAUAACAUUUGUGCAAACAUGUCAAACUGAAGAAAUCAAAUCCACUUUCAGCGGAGUUGGAUUGCACAAUUUUUACUACAAUCACAAUCCAAAGAAUCAUCAUCAUGGACAUGACAGCCAGCUGCUUACUAUUCAGGCUGGAGCAUACAUUCUCGGGAAGAGCCGAAGAGGCUACUGACCUGGUGGGGAGGCCUGUUUUACCUCAGCUCAGCGAAUAUCACCUUCUCAGUACAAAUGGUGGUGGAUGAAGUUCCCUGACUGAAACAUUGUUUGCUGGGAAUAUUAGGCUUCAACCAUGAAAAGCAACAAGGGAGUUUCUUGACACUUGUUCGUUGUCUGCCCCCAACAUAAUAAUUUCUUUCUUCAUUGGUAAUGGGCUUCUACUAAGAUGCUUGGGAAGCAAAUUAGUGGUACAGCUGUGCGGUUUAUUUCAGUGCAUGCCGACAUCUAGAACUCAGAAUCAAGUCUUGUUCAUCCUCCAAAGAUUGUAAAAUAGUGCUUUUCAGAUAAUGAUGACAAGGUGUAUUAUUCUGGUAUAUCUAUUCUUAUAUGUCAAAUCUUUCUAUCUAAACCUAUCUCUCCAUGGUUGUUUCUGUCCUUUUAUUUCAGCCCAGAGAAAUCUAGUAAUGUUAUUUAAACAUGUAAGUUCUGUUUUUUAGUUGCCAGAAAAAAUGAAACUAAAUGUAUUUUGCUUAUCAAUUAUGCUGAUUAAUUCCCUCGUCUGCGGAAAUUAUGAUUUAUAGUCACCUGAGUAACAUGGACAAUAGACGUUUUACUCUCAUAGUAUCACUACUGCACUUUUACUUCACUAGGGUAACAGUCCUGACUGAAACCACCAUAGCACCCUGGAAGAUUCACUUGGAGCAUCUCUGAUGCUCCUAUGGCACUUCCUGAGAGGUAGUGCGGAUUGUAACGUAGAAGUUAUUGCAGCAUAUGUUGCUAGUAAAAUUUCUACGCAAAUUCAAUCUUACUCCGUACAUCCCUCCUAGUUUUUCUGAUGGAAUAUGAUCUCUUGACGGUCAGCUCUUAGUGUAGCUUCUGAACAGCUCUCACAGAGGCACAUUGGCUCUUUGGCCUAUCUGUCGAGACUCCAUGCUGUCCUUCCAGCUUUCUGAUAGAAUAUGAUUUGCAAAACACAAUGUCCUAAUCUUUCUAUCAUAACAAGAAUAUGUCUGCGGAUUUGAUGGGCUUGAGAUAAAGAGGGGGCGGAAAGUGGGGAAAUAGAUAAGGUUUUACUACAUUUGUUCUUGCAUAAUAGGGAGGGUCCCUGGAAUCUCAUCUUAUUCCUGUGAUUUACACCAUAUGUUCCAUGGCAACCGCCCCCCUUCUGAUGUCGUGUUCCCACUUGCAGAAUACAGGCCUAGGCCUGGCCUUCAGCUGAAGAAGGCUCUCCAUCUGUGUCUGGCUGAAAGAUCUCAUCUGAUCAAACGAAGGCGAUUCACUAUCCACUAUCCAGGGCGCUCUUCUUCUCUGGAGGCAGUGCGUGUUCUCCGACCGGUUGAUAGGCACGGGGCUUCCGAGAAAGAUCCGGAGCAGGAAAGGCACGGAGGCCGGUUACGUGGACGAAGUGAAUCGUCAGGUUGAGGGAAUCGACGGGUGCCGAACUGUCGCUGGCGUGACAAUCUUGACCGGAGAACAGGUGAGCCAGGCGCCAUGCCCGUUCACGUGGGAGCAUCCCAUUCGUCGCUUGACGGAUGAGGACUUGCAGGAGCCGUGGUCCUGACGGGUCGCCGUCGCCGGAGACGGACGGGAGGCUCUUUUGAGGCAAGUGAAGUCUCGGCACCCUCCCCAAACCAAAUCCCAGGAGGCGGACAGGCGGUGUCAUGGAAUGGGAAAGGUUCCGCCAGCGGUGGAAUGAUCCAGACGAUCUGGUGUGCUUUCAUCCAUCCAGUUGGUGAGGGAAAUGGGAGCGGAUCUGAUGUACCCUGUCGCCGGAAUUAUUGGCACAUUGGCAAGAGAUAAAGCCGGCGGUGCCUUUUCUCCAUUGCACAAACGGGAUUGGCUGGUAAACCCAACUUUUAUCCACUAGUUGUUCGUGGAGAUAGGCUGCUUCAGGCCACUGAGAUUAGAUGGCGACCUUGGAAUGUGGAAUCAGCGAUGGCAAGUUUGUUUAUCUGAGACUGAUUUCAGACUCGAGAGCGGACUGGAUCCUAAAAUGGGGAGAAGCUGAUUUGCCGUGCGAUCUGAAGAGACCGCUUGAUCGGUACUUCGGACAGUGGUCACUGUAGCGUGUGAGGUCAGUACAUAUACGUUGCGUGGAACAGAGGCUACUGCUCUAUCGGAAUCUACACCCAUCGGUGGACAGGACUUGGAACGGCGUGCAAAACAGUACAGAAGCUGUACUGGGUGCAAUCACUUGAGCUCAUCCGGUGAUACAUCACCAUGACGCCACUGUCUCAUUUACUCCCAUAUUGCUGGGGAACAAUCCAACAAUAACAGCAUUUUUUUAGACUUGCCAUCCUUCACCAUCUUAUUACCAAUUUCAGGAUGGAACA